GAUGAACGCUAGCGGCAGGCUUAACACAUGCAAGUCGAGCGCUACCUUCGGGUGGAGCGGCGGACGGGUUAGUAACGCGUGGGAACGUACCCAGAUCUAAGGAAUAGCCUCUGGAAACGGAGAGUAAUACCUUAUACGCCCUUUGGGGGAAAGAUUUAUCGGAGAAGGAUUAGCCCGCGUUAGAUUAGGUAGUUGGUGGGGUAAUGGCCUACCAAGCCUACGAUCUAUAGCUGGUUUGAGAGGAUGAUCAGCCACACUGGGACUGAGACACGGCCCAG
This 278-nucleotide ribosomal RNA is filed under the name uncultured bacterium. RNAcentral's name for it is "partial 16S ribosomal RNA". It matches the Rfam family "Bacterial small subunit ribosomal RNA", at positions 28 to 334 of the family's 1533-position model. The record is from RNAcentral.